Molecule: long non-coding RNA, 517 nt
Filed under: Podarcis lilfordi (Lilford's wall lizard)
Lineage: Eukaryota; Metazoa; Chordata; Lepidosauria; Squamata; Lacertidae
Source: RNAcentral
AUGUCAGGGAAGAGUUAGAAGUUUCCAGUUUAUCAGAGGGAGAAAGCAUUCCCCAAGGGGGGAAGGAGAGCAGUGAAUCUAAUAGAAGGGAGCAAGAGGAACAACAGGGAGGGACCGGCUGUUCCCAGGAAAGGCAAGGGUUAAGUUCUAGCUCAGAUUGGGAGGAGGGGAGAUACAGGCCAGCUCUAGCCAGGAGGUUAGAAAAAAGAGCGGGAAAACGAAGGGAAAGGCGCCUUCACCAUUUUGAGGGUGGCUGGUCACGGAGAAGCAGAGCUCAGAAGGUAUCUGAAAUAAGUGACUCUGAGGAAUAAUAGUUAAGAACCGUUUAUAAGAAUGUUUUGUUAAUACGCAAUAAAAAGUUUUAUAAAAGAACAAGAAGCGUUUGUGUGGUGAUCUGAAGAGGACAACGACCAGUCCUGACACCACAGUUGCAGAGAAGGCUGGUCAUCACAUUGCUGCUGCUUAGUAUUUUGUAACUGUGCUGCAUCUCAUUUGAUUAACAAAUAGAGGGGAGGGG